AGGUAUAGGGAACGAACUGGGGGCAGACGGAAGGCACGGGAAUCAGGCAGGGAAAGGCCUCCUGCGGCAGGCACCGACUUGGAAGAAGCGAGGAGGCCGAGAUCACAAAAAGAGAUAAAGAUUAAGUAACUUGCCUAAAAUUACAUGCCCAUUAAGUACAUGAGGCUGGAUUUGAACUUCCUUCUUCCUGAUUCCAGAUCCAGGACUCAAGUGGUACUUUCUGUCAUGAUUUCAUUCAAGAUUUGCCACAAGAAAAGAAUAUUUUUCAGGACAAUGAAUUAGCAUGAAGAAAAAUUCCUCAGAAAAAUUCUUAAAACAAGGCUUGAAGUUGGUUUCAGAAGAAGCAUAAGGAGAUAAUAAGGAAAGAGAAAUGGGACUUAAUGAAAUUUAUCUGCUUAUAUUCCUCCAUGGGAGGAUGAUACUUGUAAUUUAUAAGAACUUUUGCAUUAUUAUGGCCGUUAGAAGGAGUAUAUAUAAACAGAGGAGCCCAGCUGGUACUAGAAAAACACACAAUUGGAAGCGAUGGGAAGUUUUCUUGAAUAAUGGAAAGGACUGAAAAAAAGAGAAUUUAAAAUGCCAAUUUGAGGACUGUCUUCUAUGAGGAUGAAAGUAAUCAAUAUCAGCUAAGAAACAAAUGACAACACCAGAAAGCUUGAUUAUUCACCAAUUUGGCUAAUCUACUGGGAGAAAUCUUGACUACAUUGGUAGAAGACUAAGUGAAAGCAUCCUAGGUAGAACUAUCCUUGUCACUUGUCAGCACAUUUUAAUGAAAUGCCAGUCUUUUCUACCAAAUCCUGAAGAAAAACCUCUGGGUACCGAUUGAUGAAAUGAUUUUCCUCCCAAAUGGAGCCUAAACUUAAAAUAAAGCACCUCCCAUUUUGCAAAGCACAGCAGUCUGCAAGUUCAAGAGAGGGCAGAAAAGUGAUUCUCAGCCUACUCCACUUUGGAUAUGCUUCUUUGCUUGGUUUCAACUCCACAGAACAAGAUGACUGUGUAUUAAGUAAUCCCUGCUGGCUCCCCAUCCCUGAUUUCCCGCUUCCUUUUUUGGGUUGUCUCCACCCUUAGAGUUGUAAGUCUUUGAGGGCAGGGGUUGUCUUUCUUUUUAUUAAUUGUAUUACCAGCACAUAGUAGAUGCUUAAUAAAAUUGUAUUAUGUAUAUAAAAGAGGUGGAUUAGUUCUUUUUGUGGUGG
This 1190-nucleotide long non-coding RNA is filed under the name Sarcophilus harrisii (Tasmanian devil). RNAcentral's name for it is "lncRNA (ENSSHAG00000028425.1)". The record is from RNAcentral. Lineage: Eukaryota; Metazoa; Chordata; Mammalia; Dasyuromorphia; Dasyuridae.